This 350-nucleotide ribosomal RNA is filed under the name uncultured eukaryote. Its description in RNAcentral is "SSU rRNA". It matches the Rfam family "Eukaryotic small subunit ribosomal RNA", at positions 567 to 958 of the family's 1831-position model. The record is from RNAcentral.
CCAGCAGCCGCGGUAAUUCCAGCUCCAAUAGCGUAUAUUAAAGUUGUUGCAGUUAAAACGCUCGUAGUCUGAUGUAAUGGGGACUGGAGUGGGGAGCAGCGAUGCUCUUUGCUUUGGUCCUCAUCAGGGGGACAGCAAUGUCCCAGUUUACUUUGAGGAAAUUAGAGUGUUCAAAGCAGGCGAUUGCUUGAAUACUGCAGCAUGGAAUAAUAGAAUAGGACUUUAGUCUCCUUUGUUGGUUUGAGGGAUUGAAGUAAUGAUUAAUAGGGAUAGUUGGGGGCAUUAGUAUUUAAUUGUCAGAGGUGAAAUUCUCGGAUUUGUUAAAGACUAACUUAUGCGAAAGCAUUUGC